This 497-nucleotide ribosomal RNA is filed under the name uncultured bacterium. RNAcentral describes it as "partial 16S ribosomal RNA". It matches the Rfam family "Bacterial small subunit ribosomal RNA", at positions 28 to 507 of the family's 1533-position model. The record is from RNAcentral.
GACGAACGCUGGCGGCGUGCCUAAUACAUGCAAGUUGAGCGCUGAAGGUUGGUACUUGUACCAACUGGAUGAGCAGCGCACGGGUGAGUAACGCGUGGGGAAUCUGCCUUUGAGCGGGGGACAACAUUUGGAAACGAAUGCUAAUACCGCAUAAAAACUUUAAACACAAGUUUUAAGUUUGAAAGAUGCAAUUGCAUCACUCAAAGAUGAUCCCGCGUUGUAUUAGCUAGUUGGUGAGGUAAAGGCUCACCAAGGCGAUGAUACAUAGCCGACCUGAGAGGGUGAUCGGCCACAUUGGGACUGGGACACGGCCCAAACUCCUACGGGAGGCAGCAGUAGGGAAUCUUCGGCAAUGGACGAAAGGCUGACCGAGCAACGCCGCGUGAGUGAAGAAGGUUUUCGGAUCGUAAAACUCUGUUGGUAGAGAAGAACGUUGGUGAGAGUGGAAAGCUCAUCAAGUGACGGUAACUACCCAGAAAGGGACGGCUAACUACGUG